RNAcentral lists this ribosomal RNA (366 nucleotides) under uncultured bacterium. RNAcentral describes it as "bacterial SSU rRNA". It matches the Rfam family "Bacterial small subunit ribosomal RNA", at positions 420 to 806 of the family's 1533-position model. The record is from RNAcentral.
GGUAUGUAAGCUCUAUCAGCAGGAAGAUAAUGACGUACCUGACUAAGAAGCACCGGCUAAAUACGUGCCAGCAGCCGCGGUAAUACGUAUGGUGCAAGCGUUAUCCGGAUUUACUGGGUGUAAAGGGAGCGCAGGCGGUGCGGCAAGUCUGAUGUGAAAGCCCGGGGCUCAACCCCGGUACUGCAUUGGAAACUGUCGUACUAGAGUGUCGGAGGGGUAAGCGGAAUUCCUAGUGUAGCGGUGAAAUGCGUAGAUAUUAGGAGGAACACCAGUGGCGAAGGCGGCUUACUGGACGAUAACUGACGCUGAGGCUCGAAAGCGUGGGGAGCAAACAGGAUUAGAUACCCUGGUAGUCCACGCCGUAAA